GAUGAACGCUGGCGGCGUGCCUAAUACAUGCAAGUCGAGCGAACAGACGAUGGUCUUUCUCCUCUGACGUUAUCGUCUGACGUGUGUGUAACACGUGUAUAACCUACCUAUAUUACUUGUAUAACUUCGUGAAUCCGGAUCUAAUACCGGAUAAUAUAUUGAACCGCUUGGUUCAUUAGUUAAUUUCGGUUUUUCUGUCUCUUAUAGAUUGUUCCGGGCCGCAUUAGCUAGUUGGUAAGGUAACGGCUUACCAAGGCAACGAUGCGUAGCCGACGUGAGAGGGUGAUAGGACACACUGGAAGUGAGACACGGAACAGACAACUACGGGAGGCAGCAGAAGGGAAUGUGACGCAAUGGGCGAAAGCAUGACGGAGCAAAGCCGAGUGAGAGAAGAAGGACUAAGGAGCGGAAAAAAAUGUUAUUAGGGAAGAAAAAAAGUGGAAGGAAAUAAGGAGGGAAUGACGGUAACAAAUAAGAAAGCAACGGCUAACUACGUG
Molecule: ribosomal RNA, 497 nt
Filed under: uncultured bacterium
Lineage: Bacteria
Description: partial 16S ribosomal RNA
Rfam family: Bacterial small subunit ribosomal RNA
Source: RNAcentral